GAUGAAGAACGCAGCGAAAUGCGAUAAGUAAUGUGAAUUGCAGAAUUCAGUGAAUCAUCGAAUCUUUGAACGCACAUUGCGCCCCUUGGUAUUCCGAGGGGCAUGCCUGUUCGAGCGUCAUUAUAACCCCUCAAGCUUAGCUUGGUGUUGGGGCCUGCUGUAAUAGAGCAGCCCUUAAAAUCAGUGGCGGUGCCAUUAGGCUCUAAGCGUAGUAAUUCUUCUCGCUAUAGGGUUCUGGUGGAUGCUUGCCAUUAACCUCUAAUUUUCUAUGGUUGACCUCGGAUCAGGUAGGGAUACCCGCUGAACUUAAGCAUAUCAAUAAGCGGACGA
RNAcentral lists this unclassified non-coding RNA (330 nucleotides) under soil metagenome. Its description in RNAcentral is "partial contains 5.8S ribosomal RNA, internal transcribed spacer 2, and large subunit ribosomal RNA". The stretch from base 1 to 120 matches the Rfam family "5.8S ribosomal RNA", at positions 35 to 154 of the family's 154-position model. The record is from RNAcentral.